AGUGAAAUUUGGAUUAAUACCUUAUAGUAUCAAAAAGCAGCAUUGUUUUAUGAUUAAAGAUUUAUUGCUAUAAGAUGACUAUGCGUUCUAUUAGCUAGUUGGUAUGGUAACGGCAUACCAAGGCUACGAUAGAUAGGGGUCCUGAGAGGGAGAUCCCCCACACUGGUACUGAGACACGGACCAGACUCCUACGGGAGGCAGCAGUGAGGAAUAUUGGACAAUGGAGGCAACUCUGAUCCAGCCAUGCCGCGUGUAGGAAGACUGCCCUAUGGGUUGUAAACUACUUUUAUAGAGGAAGAAACAAUAUUACGUGUAAUAUUCUGACGGUACUCUACGAAUAAGGAUCGGCUAACUCCGUGCCAGCAGCCGCGGUAAUACGGAGGAUCCAAGCGUUAUCCGGAAUCAUUGGGUUUAAAGGGUCCGUAGGCGGGUUUGUAAGUCAGUGGUGAAAGUUUUCGGCUCAACCGGAAAAUUGCCAUUGAUACUGCAAGUCUUGAAUUAUUGUGAAGUGGUUAGAAUGUGUAGUGUAGCGGUGAAAUGCAUAGAUAUUACACAGAAUACCGAUUGCGAAGGCAGAUCACUAACAAUUAAUUGACGCUAAGGGACGAAAGCGUGGGUAGCGAACAGGAUUAGAUACCCUGGUAGUCCACGCCGUAAACGAUGGUUACUAGCUGUUCGGACUUCGGUCUGAGUGGCUAAGCGAAAGUGAUAAGUAACCCACCUGGGGAGUACGUUCGCAAGAAUGAAACUCAAAGGGAAUUGACRGG
This 767-nucleotide ribosomal RNA is filed under the name Aquimarina sp. TBL_55. RNAcentral's name for it is "bacterial SSU rRNA". It matches the Rfam family "Bacterial small subunit ribosomal RNA", at positions 150 to 917 of the family's 1533-position model. The record is from RNAcentral. Lineage: Bacteria; Pseudomonadati; Bacteroidota; Flavobacteriia; Flavobacteriales; Flavobacteriaceae.